CAGAACGGACGUCGACGGUUAAAACGUACGCUUAACGGACAUGCAACGGAUAUGGACGGACGUCUAACGGAUAAGAACGGACGUCUAACGGACAUGAACGGAUUGAAAAAAAGUUAUCCGUUAGGCGUCCGUUCGAGCUAUCCGGUAAGGUGUGACCGAGGCUUUAGGCGUCCGUCCGUGAUAUCCGGUAAGGUUUGACCGAGGCUUUAACCACAGUUCUUGUAUAUCAUAAUAAAAGAAACAAGUUCAUUUUUUUUUUAAUUUUACUUUACAAAUAAAAGUAAUUUGAAAUCAGUUCAAAUAUGUGGGAUAAACGUCUAUGAGACAGAAACCCAACGACACAAAAUGCGCAUAGAUGUCGAAAUACAGAACACAUUGAUAGCAGAGAUAACAUAGACAGUGUUACAUUUGUGUACACAUACGGGUAAUUUACAGCUUGACAUAUAAUUGUGUUCACACAUGUCUAUUAUUGAAAACAGUAUGGUGAACCGUUAAAUGUGUUAGAUCGUUUUUAUGUCAUUGGAUUUUUCUGCAAUUAAUUUUUACCCGACACAUUCUUUAACAUAUGCUCUAAUGAAAUAAACAUAAACUGGAAAUGAAAAUUAUCUGUGAUAAAAGUGUAUAUGCAAACAAACCUAAAAGGUUUCGGAGUAUGAUAAAAAUAAUGACAUUUGAUAUAGGCCUUCGUUAACGUUCAAAUAUAUCAAACAAAUAGUGUUUUUGUUAAUCAGG
RNAcentral lists this long non-coding RNA (732 nucleotides) under Mytilus galloprovincialis (Mediterranean mussel). Lineage: Eukaryota; Metazoa; Mollusca; Bivalvia; Mytilida; Mytilidae. The record is from RNAcentral.